This 253-nucleotide ribosomal RNA is filed under the name uncultured bacterium. Its description in RNAcentral is "partial 16S ribosomal RNA". It matches the Rfam family "Bacterial small subunit ribosomal RNA", at positions 524 to 776 of the family's 1533-position model. The record is from RNAcentral.
UACGUAGGGAGCAAGCGUUGUCCGGAAUCAUUGGGCGUAAAGCGCGCGUAGGUGGCCUCAUAAGUCCGCUGUGAAAGUCAAAGGCUCAACCUUUGAAAGCCGGUGGAUACUGUGAGUCUAGAGUACGGAAGAGGCGAGUGGAAUUCCUGGUGUAGCGGUGGAAUGCGCAGAUAUCAGGAGGAACACCAAUAGCGAAGGCAGCUCGCUGGGACGUUACUGACACUGAGGCGCGAAAGCGUGGGGAGCGAACAGG